This 242-nucleotide ribosomal RNA is filed under the name uncultured Petrimonas sp. RNAcentral's name for it is "partial 16S ribosomal RNA". It matches the Rfam family "Bacterial small subunit ribosomal RNA", at positions 796 to 1041 of the family's 1533-position model. Lineage: Bacteria; Pseudomonadati; Bacteroidota; Bacteroidia; Bacteroidales; Dysgonomonadaceae. The record is from RNAcentral.
CACGCAGUAAACGAUGAUUACUUGCUGUUUGCGAUACACGGUAAGCGGCGAAGCGAAAGCGUUAAGUAAUCCACCUGGGGAGUACGUUCGCAAGAAUGAAACUCAAAGGAAUUGACGGGGGCCCGCACAAGCGGAGGAACAUGUGGUUUAAUUCGAUGAUACGCGAGGAACCUUACCCGGGCUUGAAAUGCAUUCGACGGGGUCGGAAACGGCCUUUCCCUUCGGGGCGGAUGCGUAGGUGC